ACUGGCAAGCUUGAGUCUCGUAGAGGGGGGUAGAAUUCCAGGUGUAGCGGUGAAAAUGCGUAGAGAUCUGGAGGAAUACCGGGUGGCGAAGGCGGCCCCCUGGACGAAGACUGACGCUCAGGUGCGAAAAGCGUGGGGAGCAAAACAGGAUUAGAUACCCUGGUAGUCCACGCCGUAAACGAUGUCGACUUGGGAGGUUGUGCCCUUGAGGCGUGGCUUCCGGAGCUAACGCGUUAAGUCGACCGCCUGGGGAGUACGGCCGCAAGGUUAAAACUCAAAUGAAUUGACGGGGGCCCGCACAAGCGGUGGAGCAUGUGGUUUAAUUCGAUGCAACGCGAAGAACCUUACCUGGUCUUGACAUCCACAGAAGUUUUCAGAGAUGAGAAUGUGCCUUCGGGAACUGUGAGACAGGUGCUGCAUGGCUGUCGUCAGCUCGUGUUGUGAAAUGUUGGGUUAAGUCCCGCAACGAGCGCAACCCUUAUCCUUUGUUGCCAGCGGUCCGGCCGGGAACUCAAAGGAGACUGCCAGUGAUAAACUGGAGGAAGGUGGGGAUGACGUCAAGUCAUCAUGGCCCUUACGACCAGGGCUACACACGUGCUACAAUGGCGCAUACAAAGAGAAGCGACCUCGCGAGAGCAAGCGGACCUCAUAAAGUGCGUCGUAGUCCGGAUUGGAGUCUGCAACUCGACUCCAUGAAGUCGGAAUCGCUAGUAAUCGUGGAUCAGAAUGCCACGGUGAAUACGUUCCCGGGCCUUGUACACACCGCCCGUCACACCAUGGGAGUGGGUGCAAAAGAAGUUGAGAGUUGAUCCUGGCUCAGAUGA
Molecule: ribosomal RNA, 824 nt
Filed under: Escherichia coli
Lineage: Bacteria; Pseudomonadati; Pseudomonadota; Gammaproteobacteria; Enterobacterales; Enterobacteriaceae
Description: bacterial SSU rRNA
Rfam family: Bacterial small subunit ribosomal RNA
Source: RNAcentral